UGGGGAAUAUUGGACAAUGGGCGAAAGCCUGAUCCAGCCAUGCCGCGUGAGUGAUGAAGACCUUAGGGUUGUAAAGCUCUUUUAGCAGGGAAGAUAAUGACGGUACCUGCAGAAAAAGCCCCGGCUAACUUCGUGCCAGCAGCCGCGGUAAUACGAAGGGGGCUAGCGUUGCUCGGAAUUACUGGGCGUAAAGCGCACGUAGGCGGACUCUUAAGUCGGUGGUGAAAUCCUGGAGCUCAACUCCAGAACUGCCUUCGAUACUGGGAGUCUUGAGUUCGGGAGAGGUGAGUGGAACUGCGAGUGUAGAGGUGAAAUUCGUAGAUAUUCGCAAGAACACCAGUGGCGAAGGCGGCUCACUGGCCCGAUACUGACGCUGAGGUGCGAAAGCGUGGGGAGCAAACA
This 402-nucleotide ribosomal RNA is filed under the name uncultured bacterium. Its description in RNAcentral is "bacterial SSU rRNA". It matches the Rfam family "Bacterial small subunit ribosomal RNA", at positions 355 to 774 of the family's 1533-position model. The record is from RNAcentral.